CGCAGGGAGGGACGGUCCCAAGCGAGCCUCAUACCCUCGCCGCUGCGGGUUCAACUCCCGCCCCUGCAACCA
RNAcentral lists this transfer RNA (72 nucleotides) under Akkermansiaceae bacterium. RNAcentral's name for it is "tRNA-OTHER". The record is from RNAcentral. Lineage: Bacteria; Pseudomonadati; Verrucomicrobiota; Verrucomicrobiia; Verrucomicrobiales; Akkermansiaceae.